Molecule: ribosomal RNA, 484 nt
Filed under: uncultured bacterium
Lineage: Bacteria
Description: partial 16S ribosomal RNA
Rfam family: Bacterial small subunit ribosomal RNA
Source: RNAcentral
AGUGAACGCUGGCGGCAGGCCUAACACAUGCAAGUCGAGCGGCAGCGGGUCCUUCGGGAUGCCGGCGAGCGGCGGACGGGUGAGGAAUGCAUCGGAAUCUGCCCUGUCGUGGGGGAUAACCUAGGGAAACUUAGGCUAAUACCGCAUACGACCCACGGGUGAAAGCGGGGGAUCGCAAGACCUCGCGCGAUAGGAUGAGCCGAUGUCCGAUUAGCUAGUUGGCGGGGUAAAGGCCCACCAAGGCGACGAUCGGUAGCAGGUCUGAGAGGAUGAUCAGCCACACUGGGACUGAGACACGGCCCAGACUCCUACGGGAGGCAGCAGUGGGGAAUAUUGGACAAUGGGCGCAAGCCUGAUCCAGCCAUGCCGCGUGGGUGAAGAAGGCCUUCGGGUUGUAAAGCCCUUUUGUCCGGGAAGAAAUCGUCUGGGCUAAUACCCCGGGCGGAUGACGGUACCGGAAGAAUAAGCACCGGCUAACUUCGUG